CAGUAAGUAAGCUUAGUUGAGCGAGUUUCGGCCUCGCGUAAGCCCGAGGGGCCUUAGCUAG
This 61-nucleotide transfer RNA is filed under the name Tigriopus japonicus. Its description in RNAcentral is "tRNA-Arg". The record is from RNAcentral. Lineage: Eukaryota; Metazoa; Arthropoda; Copepoda; Harpacticoida; Harpacticidae.